AAAGAAAGCUUUAGACCUCUGGCAACAAGCAGGAGGUAGAGAUUUCAUCACCAGGUCUUUAAUUUCUCAUGGUUUUAGUGAAGUUAAUGUUACAACUGAACAGUGGUCCUCAGUUACACUUACAGUGUUUAAAAGUAAUAAGAAAGAGCAUCUUAAGUGGUUGAGGGUCAUCUGGGGUGAAGACCGACGUGGAGUCCGGACUGAGGUGCUUCAAGCAGGAAAAUAUGUCAGUGAAAGAGGGAGAGAUGGACAGCACAGUAUCAAGAAACAGUGUUACAGCGCACCUACGGGUGAGGAAGACGAGGACACAAGUCAGGAUGACAGGGAAAUAAGUAACACACAGCCACAGUCUGAGAUAGACACAGAAGAGUCAGACCAACAAAGUACAGAGACAGCCACCAAAAUGACAACAACAAUGAACGGAAAGGGACAAACAGGCAAG
This is a long non-coding RNA of Gymnodraco acuticeps, 442 nucleotides long. RefSeq lists it as uncharacterized. The transcript is spliced from 2 exons. The record is from RefSeq and is a predicted model, not a curated record. Lineage: Eukaryota; Metazoa; Chordata; Actinopteri; Perciformes; Bathydraconidae.